Pygocentrus nattereri (red-bellied piranha) is the source of this 467-nucleotide long non-coding RNA. RefSeq lists it as uncharacterized. Lineage: Eukaryota; Metazoa; Chordata; Actinopteri; Characiformes; Serrasalmidae. The transcript has 4 exons. The record is from RefSeq and is a predicted model, not a curated record.
AAUCUUUUCCCACUUACUUUCUUUGCUGCAAUGACCAUGUACUCAUCUCCUUGGGAUUAUAAGGUUGUGUCUGCAUUCUGAGAAGUUAUGAAAUAUUGGGCUUCAAAGAUUUUGCGUUCCAAAUAGCAAAGCUGGGCCAGGCAGGCAAGUUGGACUGAAUGCAUCUAUAAGUUUUAGGAGAGGUUGUGAGGCAGAGAAGACGUCCAGUCCACCUGCACCUCCACUUCAAUCUCCUGUCGAGACCCAUCCUCCACUUCCUGCUGAGCCCCACCUUCCACGUGUUCAGGGUCCUGCUCACUCUCAAAGGCCUCAUUGUCCACACCCAGAGGGGCCACCGGCACCAACCCAUUCUGUAGCAGACAUCAGUGACUUAUAUCAAAGUGCCCAGCUCAAACACUACACCGGUCAGCAAACCCACGUCCAGCCCCAAGACGAUGCAGGAAAUGCAUGUGAACACCCAAAUGAAC